RNAcentral lists this unclassified non-coding RNA (331 nucleotides) under Hevea brasiliensis (rubber tree). The record is from RNAcentral. Lineage: Eukaryota; Viridiplantae; Streptophyta; Magnoliopsida; Malpighiales; Euphorbiaceae.
GUAGAAUUUUGGGGACAUUGUGACUAGUACCAAUGGUUUUCUGGUGUGUCUUGUAGAUAAGUAAGCUGAAAUGGGAGGUUGCUGCUGCUGUUCUUCAAAAAGAACAGAAUCAAAUAUUGCACCAGGCUACUAUUAUUACCCAAGAGCAUCGGAGGAGCAUGUUCCCUUGUCAUCUCCACUUAGUACUCCCCCAGCAUUUUCAACCGGGCUUUUAGUUGACACGAAUCUUGAUACAUCAAUCCCAGACACUUAUAGAUCACCUCCUUUGCCUAUGCCAUAUGAUGUUGUUUUAACAAAUCCACAUAUUUCAUCCGUGGCUCAAGAAAUUGGC